UUUAGGAGGUUUAUUUGCCAAAGUUGAGGACGAACACCCGGGAAACAGUCUGUACCUUUCUCCGAAGAUGAUUUUGAGGGCUCCAAAUUUAAAGAGGAAAGGGUGGGAUAAUGACAAGUACACAAUUUUCAUGUAAGAGGCAGGUAGAGAAAAAUAGUCACGCCUUUGGCUCAUUGAAUCUGCAUUAUUUCUACACAAGAUAACGUCUUAUUUAGGGACCAAAAGGGGAGGCAGGUUUGCACGACCCAGUUCCCAGCUUGACUUUUCCCUCUGGCUUGAGUUUGGGGGCCCGAGAUUUAUUUUCCCUUCACAGGUGGGAGGAUGGUGUAAGCCUGGGAGGCAGGGCUGCAGGGAGCCAAGAUCGUGCCACUGCACUCCAGCCUGGGUGACAGAGUGAGAUCCUGUCUCAAACAAAACAAAACAAAACAAAAAACCUCUCUCUGGGAGAGGGAGGGACUGUGAAAGCAACCGAGGAAACAGGCAGCUUUCAUUCCCAGCAGCGUGGGAUCCUCGCCCAAGGCCGGGAAAACACAGGAGUGAAAUGACAGCUAUAGAAGUACACUCCACAGGCUGCACAAAAAGAACAAAAACAGUGCUACACACACCAGUAAGCAACGGCACUGGCAUGCUCCACCUCCUGUGGGCAGCCUGGGGAUGAGGUCAUUUUCCAAAAUAGGGAGCUGGUCAGCAUUUUCCAUGCCCAGGGCAAGUUCCCCUUGAUGGGCAGCGCCUAACGACCAGCGCUGAGUCAGUCUAGGAGCAGAAAGACUGGAAACCCUGGAGCAGGAGCCACGUCAGCGUGACUCAAGCAAUGGCAAGUUUUCACAGCAACAACAUGAAACGCCCAACAGGGUGAUGACUAUGGGAGGAAGACGGACCGGAACCUGGAUAGUGCGUGCACUGCACACCCUCCUGGUUAACAGCCCCACGCCCCGAGAGCUGUUCUUUACACAAAUUUCUUCUGUUAAAGCAGCUGGUGUGGCUUCUGCAGCCUGGUGGAGCCAACACGUGCCUGUCACGGAGGUGAGGAGUGGGUGCCCACCAGCAUUUCAUGCUGACCUUCCAGAAACACGGUGUCCCUCAGAGCCUUCAGCCUGCAGGACAGAGCCACCCCUGGUCGUUCUGUUGGAAUUUCGGCGUUCCUGUCUUUUAGGCAACAUCCGCCAAGUGCAGUUUGUGUGAAGAAACGCAUUCUGUCGUGUCUGCCGGAGCCCAGCGCGGCUGCUGUGCACGAACCAGCUUUUGUGGCCCACAGAGCGAUGACUCAGUCUGGAGCUCGGCUACUCUCCGGCCCGGGGUGCUGGCAUUUCCCUGGGGCCCAGUGCCUCUAUUUUCCCCAUGAGGCCUCAGCCAAGAGGAGGUUCUGGAAGAAAGGAAAACACUGGUGCCGAGAGAGAAGGGCUGGCCAAGAGGCACCACGCCAUCAGUGCUGAUGGGGAGAGGCGGCUCCAGCCCGGCCCUGCUGUCCUUACGAGGCGUGUUUCCUUUUUAUUCAGAGGAAGGGCAGCAGAGGAACACGUCAUGGAGACGGACCGAGUGGAAGGAGCCAGGGAUGGCGACAAGCAGAAGGAAGUGUAUUUUGUCCCCAUCCAGGGAAACUUUUGUUUCAUGAGACUUUACUUGCACACGUCUGAUGGCCGCCCUGGACGUUCAUGGACUUUUGUUUUCACUCAAAUUUUGUGGUUCAAGUGACACAAAGCAUGAGGACGUCACUGGGUGAAAGGGCCAGGUCACCCCACCGCGGAGGGUCACGCCCCAGCUGUGCACCGCGGGAGUGGGCUUGUCCAGUCUUCAAACACAGGGACAGGAUGUGCCCAUCUCAUGUUAAGACGUGAAUAAUAGUAGAAAUUUCUGUUACAGGAGAACUCUCUGCAUUAUCCUCACCAUUUUCCUGUAAGAGUAAAACUUCUAAAAAAUUUUUAUGAGCACACUAAUUCCUCACUUAAGGUCAUCAUUAGGUUCCUGGAAACGGCAACUUUCAACAAAAGGACAGACAGCAGGUGCUCAAAUAGCAUUCUUUCCUUCAACAUCAUUUCAUACUAAGGAGAAAAAAUGGAUUUUGUUACAUGUCCUUUCAUUUAAGGCUGCACUUUCCAAGAACCUACUGGUGACAUCAAGUAAGGACCUACUGCACCUUACAAGUUGCUGGCAUUUGCAGAGUGCACCCC
Non-coding RNA from Macaca mulatta (Rhesus monkey), 2168 nucleotides. Lineage: Eukaryota; Metazoa; Chordata; Mammalia; Primates; Cercopithecidae. The record is from RefSeq and is a predicted model, not a curated record.